GACGAACCGUGCGAACGUUGUUCGGAUUCACUGGGCUUAAAGGGCGCGUAGGCGGCUUGCCAAGUCAGGGGUGAAAUCUUUCGGCUCAACCGGAAAAGUGCUUCUGAUACUGGCAGGCUGGAGGGAGGUAGGGGCAGAUGGAACUUCCGGUGGAGCGGUGAAAUGCGUAGAUAUCGGAAGGAACGCCGGUGGCGAAAGCGAUCUGCUGGAUCUCUUCUGACGCUGAUGCGCGAAAGCCAGGGGAGCAAACGGG
RNAcentral lists this ribosomal RNA (253 nucleotides) under uncultured bacterium. Its description in RNAcentral is "partial 16S ribosomal RNA". It matches the Rfam family "Bacterial small subunit ribosomal RNA", at positions 524 to 776 of the family's 1533-position model. The record is from RNAcentral. RNAcentral also lists the same sequence under 1 other name.